Molecule: ribosomal RNA, 164 nt
Filed under: Paenibacillus sp. 1182
Lineage: Bacteria; Bacillati; Bacillota; Bacilli; Caryophanales; Paenibacillaceae
Description: partial 16S ribosomal RNA
Rfam family: Bacterial small subunit ribosomal RNA
Source: RNAcentral
UUAAUGGAGAGUUUGAUCCUGGCUCAGGACGAACGCUGGCGGCGUGCCUAAUACAUGCAAGUCGAGCGAGGUUAUUUAGAAGCUUGCUUCUAAAUAACCUAGCGGCGGACGGGUGAGUAACACGUAGGCAACCUGCCCACAAGACAGGGAUAACUACCGGAAAC